UUAGAUUGACGAAUAUGAAUGGGUAACGAACGGCUAAGAUUGAACGUGCUUGUCUAAGUGGAUGCCAUUGCGGGAUUUAAACGGAUUGGGCACAGCACUCAAUCGGGGCGGAUCAUACGGAACCGAUAAUUGGAUCCGAUCCGAUAUUACCUAGGUAAGCAUGAACUAUUCCAAACAAAUAAUUUGACUGACUAGUGUAUAUUCUUAAUUAAGAGAGUCGUUUGUUGUAGGGAUAGUAACUACAGAUCUGACUUAUGGUGCACACUGUCCUAAAUUAAAUCAAACUAAUUCAAAUAUCACUGAUAUCUUUUUUAUCACAUUUGAUUAGUUAAAUUUGGAUCUAACCAAAUCUUUAAUCAAAUAUCAAUAUUCUAGAUUCAGAAAAAAAAAAAAAAAAAAGGGGUCGAGGACUCUAAAGGGUUAGAUAUAGGGCACAUUUAUGGUGCAAUAUUAGAGAAAUCUACAAAACAAAGGUGUCGAGCUUUCUUGAUCAUCAUAUUUGAUGCUCCAAUUUGGGAGUACACAAACUAAAGCUUCAUGAAUUCUUGAAGCAAUAGAUCAAAUAACAAAGGAAAGAAAUAGUGCACCUUUACAUGUGUUUUUGGUCCUUUUUUUUAUGUUGGGAGACACUAUUUUUAUAGUGUUAGAAUUAUAAUUAUGUACCAUUAAAGAAAAUUGAUUGAAUCUAAGAAGUAAUAAAUAAUAUUCUUCAUCUUAGCAUGUAUCAUGUGUAGAACAGAUUUAUAGUUGGAGAGAGAUUAUCGAUUUUUUUUUCGUAUUAUCUGAAAAGUGGAGUGCUAGUCAAGAUAUCAUAAGCUUAAGUAAUUAUCAUCUUGAAUGCGAGAGAUUACUAACCACUCUUUGUGUUUUUUUUGUCAGGUUGACGUAGGAUACUUGGAUCAAAAAUAGAACUGCAAGUGCACCAGCUAAGAUAUUACGAACUCGAGUAAUUAUUAUUUUAAUAUGUAUCAUGUGCAGAAUAUAUUUAUAGU
This 992-nucleotide long non-coding RNA is filed under the name Musa acuminata (dwarf banana). RNAcentral describes it as "long non-coding RNA (MACU_LNC002433)". Lineage: Eukaryota; Viridiplantae; Streptophyta; Magnoliopsida; Zingiberales; Musaceae. The record is from RNAcentral.